GGGAGGACACGCACAGGUGAGCAUGGCGAGCGGGCGAGGUGGGAACCGAGGCGAGGAUGGACGGGGCUAUUUCUAGUCCAGUCUCUACAGGGAAGGCGUGGGUGACGAGGGGACCCACAAAUGGCCUUGCCGCCCCCUGGCGGCCCAGAACAUAGGCUGGGGGCUGGGAGCCUUCGGCUGAGGAAGGCCCUGGCUCUUGGUGGUGUCAGGAAGGACACAGCAGAAAGGGAAGGGCUAGGAGCCCACAGCCUUGGCGAGGGGCCGGUGGCGCCCCUUCCUCUCUGGGUUGUCCUGAGCGAUUUGCUUCCCCUCUCUGGGCUUCCGCUGUAAGAACGACCCAAAAACAACUGUGCAACCUCCACAGGGGCCACAGCGUGUGGACUAGAUGGCAUCGUGCAUGUGGAUCCCGCCACACAGCGUCAGGCCUGGCCUGGGCUCAGGAAAUGCAAAUCCCUUCUCUUCCCUUGGAGGUGUUGACCCUGGCUCCACACCAGACGGUUGGUAAAGCCCCUUUCUAGCCAUCGUCUGCUGUGGUCCUGCUCCUGCCCUGGGAGGUACUGGUAUCCCCGUUUUACAGGUGUGAAAAACAGCCUGGGAGCUUGAAUGGCCUACGAGUCAAGGUUCCUCAGCUGGUCAGAGCCGCGACCUCACCCAGACUCUGAAGCCUGAGUUCCUUCCAUCACAUCAACUGUUGGUUGAAUUUUUUAAAGUGACGGGGGAAACAGUUCCUCGCCUCAGUUUCCCCUCCUGCCGCAGAGGGAACCAGAAUGAUCCAAUCCUCCCCUGCCCGGGGAAGUCCACGCCAGGCAAGUGGUUACUAAAAAUUCUCGGGCCGCAUGCCAGCCCCGGGGGUCCCUGCGCGAUCCCCGGGGUCCCUUCCCACAGCGCUGCCCCGUGGUGGCCUCGGGCGCUGCAGGCUGAGUGCACCCGGCGGACGUGUCCCCUCAUUCCGGUUCCUGCGGUGUUGGGAAGCCCCGGCUUGAGCCCUGCUCCGCCCUCUCUCGGUAUCCAAACCUCUCCGCAUCCUUCACGCCUCCUUGCCACCAACACGCAGAGGGCGCCUCACACCGUCUCAUUAGAUGCUCCUCCACUACCUCGAGGCAGGACAAUUCGCCCGUUCUAGGCGCGGAGAUUCGAGCUCUGGAGGUGAAGCCACUUCCAAGGAAAGGGCAGAAGGUUGGAGGCGGGAUUGGGGCCCAGGUGUCUUUGUCCCCAUAUUUUGUUUGGGACACCAGAAUCUGCUAAGUGCUCUUCACAGACAUUAUCCAGUCCAGCGUUGCUCCUUCUGUGGCCCCCGGGGAAUCCAGACCAGGUCACCGGCUGUGCUGUCAGGUGUAGUAGCCACGACCCACAGGGAGCCCUUGACUCGUGGCUGGUCGGAGUUGAGAAGUGCUGUAAAUGUAAAACACACAACCGAUUUCGAGGUCUUAGUACUUAAAAAAAGAAUACAAAAUAUCUCAUUUAUAAUUUUUUAUGAUUGAUUACAUGUUAAAAUUAUACUUCAGAUAAAUUGGGUUAAAUAAAAUAUGAAAUUAAAAUAUUUUAUUUAUAUAUUAAAUAAAUUUUAUUUUAUGUAUUAAAAUAUAUAAUUAAAAUUUUCUGUAAGAGACUUUUCACCUGUUUCUUUUCACCUUGUUAUGUAAUUAGUACUAGAAAAUGGAAAUUGGCAAAUGUGGCUUGUAUUUGUGGCUCCGAUUUCCACAGGACAGCACUUGACCAAAGGUGCCCAUUCCUGGUUCCCACCCAAGACCCCUGACAGCCUGUCUGGGAUGGGACCCUGGGACCUGCAUUUUAACAGGGUCUCUUCAGGGAUUCUGCAGACCACCAAAGUUUGAGAUGAAGCUCCAGAAAUAUUUUUGGCUUGUUCACUAUUAUAUUUUUCAGGAUCUGGCAUAGGGCCUGACACAUAGUAGGUGCUCAUUAAAUGUUUGUUGAGUGAAUUAGCACAUCCAAUGCUCAUAGUAGGUAAGUAAAGAGAUAAGACAUUAAAAAAAAAAAGUAACUAUGGGACUUCCCUGGUGAUACAGUGGUAAAGAAUCCGCCUGCCAAUGCAGGGGACACGGGUUUGAGCCCUGGUCCAGGAAGAUCCCACAGGCCGUGGAGCAACUAAGCCUGUGCACCACAACUACUGAGGCUGCCUGCUGCAGCUACUGAAGGCUGCGUGCCUAGAGCCCGUGCUCCGCAACAAGAGAGGCCACCGCAAUGAGAAGCCUGUGCACUGCAAUGAAGAGUAGCCCCCGCUCGCCACAACUAGAGAAAGCCUGUGCACAGCAACGAAGACCUAACGCAGCCAUAAAUAAAUAUAAAUACAUUUAUUUUUUUUAAAAAACUUGCUGCUAAAAUACCUCUAAUUAAGAAAAAAAAUAGUAACUAUGGAGUUCUGAAUACCAGCUAAAAACCCAAAAUUAACUUAUAUGUUCUGAGAGGAAAUAUGGCCAAUAUAUAUUGCUAAAGAACAUUAUCUACGUAAUCCCAUCAAACAAAAUAUUUUUAUAUAAAGGACAAAUGGUCUGGUUUCUUCAACAAACAAAUUGCAAGGAAAAUAAAAGAGUUAGGGUAGGAACCUAUAGAUUGAAUGAGAUGUAGGAGACAUUGACCAACUACAUGCUUUCACAGGCCUUAUUUAGAUCCUGAAUGAAACAAACGAAUAAACAAACAAAAUGAUAUUUGAUGAUGUUAGGAAAUUAUUGUUACAGGAUGAUAAUGGGACUUGGGUUUUUUUUUUAAGUCCUUUCCUCUUAGAGAUACAUAUUCAAAUAUUUAAGGAAUAAUUUAUAUGACAUAUGGGAUUUGCUUUAAAAUAAUAUGGGAUGGGGGAGCAGGUGGGUAUAAAUAUGUUGAUUUGGUAUAAAUCUAAGCUGGUUGAUGGUUACAUGGGAGGUCAUUUAUACAAUUCUGUACUUUUGUAUAUGUUGAAAGGUUUCCAUAAUACAAAUAUUUUCAAAAUAAGAAGUCAAGUCACUUCUCACUAAGACCAACUGGUAGUUCAGAAGUGAUUUGACCCAGAUAAGAAGAAUAGUCCUUCUUUACCUGGGAAAAGAUCAAAAUCAAAAGAUUUAUCAUUAUUUAAACAGACAAACCAAGCUUCAAGACAAAAGCAUUAUUAGAAACAAGGAAUAUGUAACUCCAGGAAGAUAUAGCAAUUCUAAACUCUUAUGCACCUGAUAACACAACUUCAAAACAUACAAAGCAAAACAAGGAGACAUAAACAAAUCCAUUAUCCUAAUCAGAGAUUUUAUCACAACUCUUUCAAUUGCCGAUAUAUCAAGAAGAUAAAAGAAUUGCUAAGGAUAUGGAAGACAUAAACAAGAAGAUAUUAAAUAUCAUCAGUAAACAGGAAAAGUAAAUUAAAGCCACAAUGAGUUGGAAUUUUACUCCCACUAGCUUGGUAAAAAUUACAAAGUUGAACAGUUCCACAUUUGGCAAGGAUGUGGCUCAGUGGGGACUCUCCUUCCCUCUGGGUGGGAGUAAAAAUUGGUUCAAUCUCCUUGGAAAAUAGUUUAGCCUUGCCUAAUAGAGUUGAACAUGUUGUACACACAAUAAUUCAACAGUUCUCCUCCUAAAUUUGUUAUUUAAGAGUACAUAUAUGUGACCAACCUAUAAGGAAAGUCAGAAGAGGAAGGAGGGUGCAGCUGUGGAGGGGCACAAAGGUGUGCUUCUAAGAUGCUGGCAAGUUUUAUGAAUGGUGAGGACAUGGAUGUCUGCACUGUUUUCCUUUGAAUUGUAUAUUUUUUGCAUGUACAUGUUAACAAUAAAAAUGCUAUGCCUAUA
Orcinus orca (killer whale) is the source of this 3771-nucleotide long non-coding RNA. RefSeq lists it as uncharacterized. The record is from RefSeq and is a predicted model, not a curated record. The transcript has 2 exons. Lineage: Eukaryota; Metazoa; Chordata; Mammalia; Artiodactyla; Delphinidae.